Molecule: long non-coding RNA, 327 nt
Filed under: Manihot esculenta (cassava)
Lineage: Eukaryota; Viridiplantae; Streptophyta; Magnoliopsida; Malpighiales; Euphorbiaceae
Description: long non-coding RNA (MESC_LNC006786)
Source: RNAcentral
GCCAGGCCACGUUCGGGGGCCGAAUGUGCCUCCGUAUCCAUGCAAUGUUCGGCGGCCGAACAUGAGGUUCGGCGGCCGAACCUGCAAUUCCCUCACUCAUGCUUUCGGGGGCCUAACGUGCCUCCUAAUCACAUGCAUGUUCGGCGGCCGAACUUGUCUUUCGACGGCCGACCUGAGUUUUCCUCCAAUGCUAUUUUCAUGCAAAAACUUAUUUAAAAUCAUACUUAAAAACAUUAAAAUGCAUGAAAACAUUUCAAAAAAAACAUGAUUUUACCCUUCUAGAGGCUUCCGACAUCAGAGAUUCCACCGGACGGUAGGAAUUCCGAU